CAUGGUCCCAUCUUAUUGACUCUAUGCACAUGUAUGUGUUCUGGUUAGGAGGACCUAAAGGAGACCUACAUCAUGUCAAGUUGUGUAAAUGAUUAUGGUAGUAGAUUGGAACAUAAUGGGCUCGGUUAGCUGGUGCUGUCUAAUGAAGCAAAAGCAACCCACCUCCAUUAUGACAACUUACUUUAAGCAUGUGGCCUUGCAUCCCCAGUUCUUAUCUAAACUAAACAAUCACAGGACCUUUGCAACUAGGCCACCUUGUAUUCCUUCAUAGCUGCAAACCUAGUAUCUUAUGUCACCUAUUUG
RNAcentral lists this long non-coding RNA (303 nucleotides) under Elaeis guineensis (African oil palm). Its description in RNAcentral is "long non-coding RNA (EGUI_LNC025719)". Lineage: Eukaryota; Viridiplantae; Streptophyta; Magnoliopsida; Arecales; Arecaceae. The record is from RNAcentral.